GUACUGGAAAUUGCUAAUUUCACCAUUUUGCCAUCUCUUAGAGAAUGAGUUUGCCAUGACCUUGAAAAGACGGCUCCCUUCAUUGCUAUCUGGUUUUAUGGACCCUGAUAUUGUCGUGUCCAACAUGGUGUUCCUGGGAAGAUUCAUGGCCACCAAAUUCUUGAAAACCUCUUCUCUCUCCUUUUUGUGGAAAACCAGAAGAUCAUUGCAGCCAUCCAUGCUAAAGAUCUCAAUGGCAACGGGCCGAAGUUGAUAAUCA
This 259-nucleotide unclassified non-coding RNA is filed under the name Hevea brasiliensis (rubber tree). Lineage: Eukaryota; Viridiplantae; Streptophyta; Magnoliopsida; Malpighiales; Euphorbiaceae. The record is from RNAcentral.